AUCCUUUUGUAGUUUCUAAGCGGGAUGAUUGGGUGUUCACGCGCAUGUGUGAGAUGUGCCUCCCUCAAACCUUGUUACGACAUCGGCACAUUACCCUUCUGACA
This is a small nucleolar RNA of Cercocebus atys (sooty mangabey), 104 nucleotides long. The record is from Ensembl. Lineage: Eukaryota; Metazoa; Chordata; Mammalia; Primates; Cercopithecidae.